UACGAAGGGGGCUAGCGUUGCUCGGAAUCACUGGGCGUAAAGGGUGCGUAGGCGGCUUUGUAAGUCAGGAGUUAAAGUUUGCGGCUCAACCGUAAAAUUGCUUCUGAUACUGCAUGGCUAGAAUUAGGAUGAGGUCAGCGGAAUGUGGCAUGUAGCGGUGAAAUGCAUAGAUAUGCCAUAGAACACCAAUUGCGAAGGCAGCUGACUAGACCUGGAUUGACGCUGAGGCACGAAAGCGUGGGGAGCGAACAGG
RNAcentral lists this ribosomal RNA (253 nucleotides) under uncultured bacterium. RNAcentral's name for it is "partial 16S ribosomal RNA". It matches the Rfam family "Bacterial small subunit ribosomal RNA", at positions 524 to 776 of the family's 1533-position model. The record is from RNAcentral.